GUUUUGACCGGUCUUUUGUCAAAUCUUUUGUAUCGGAGACUUUGUAAAACCAAACACUUUAUUAUUGUUUCCCUCCACAGAGAAUACUACAUCACUUUCUGCAGCAACAGCUGCUGGUGGUGGUCAAGGUUUGUUUGUUCAGCUACAGCAGAAGCACCGCUUCACGUCGUUCGUCCCCGCAUAACUGAUGCACAACCCGAAGGUGUAAUACUCCUUGCGGCAGUGCUCAACGCAUGGCCGAUCCUCACAAGGACCAGUAUAUGUCAUGCUGGGUUCCGCACAAUGUAGACCAUCAGACCCUGCAACAACAGAAGGAGAUAAGAACAUCGUAGCAUCAGAUAUAUAAUAUCCCACACAAUGUUUCACAAAGAAAUUGACAAUGAGGUAUGAACUUCAGAUCCAGCCAGCAUCACCAGAUACAUAGUAGAUCGUACAUCGAGAAAGCGCUAUGGUAGCUAAAAAUCAUGGCAAGAGCUUACCUGGGAUGAUCGAAAGGAGUGGCAUGAGCAGCAGCAGCAGGCAUAGGACUGGCACCUUGAUGAAGACACCCAUGUCUCCUGAAACAAAUGGUAUGAGGAAGGAAGCGAGCGGUACAAAUGGAUCAGCGGCACCAUAUUCUUCUUAUACCCAUGGCCAUGGAUGGGUCAGACCUCAGAAGUAAACAAAUACAGCUCUAUGAUAGAUAGGAUGAUGCAAUUCUAUCUGCAUGAUGUGAUGUUGUGGAUACAGCAUAAAAGACGAUGCAUAUCUAUCUUUAGGAUGUAGUGUUGUCAUGUACACUCAAAAGACGCUCCAAACAUCAUAACGACGAUUAAGCAAAAAUAUGUUAUGGCAUCCUAUUUAUUGAGAAAAAGAAAAGUUACCAUAUCUUAAUGCAGAUAUAGCUCUUAGCACUAAAAACAACACAAGUUAUAUAUUUUUCUCUCCCAAAACACAUUAAAUGUGAGCUCUUUUUGAUAAAAUAACAAAGUUGCAAUCAAUAGGAGGAACUAUAUCUAAAUACAUAUUUAAUGCAUCUGAUAUAGCUUAGGAUAGUAAUGCAAUGUGUGACCGAAUGAUAAAUUUAAUUUUACUCGUAGAUACUCUUAAAUUUUGCCGAUGAAAUUCACCAAAGUAAUGAUAUGUCAAUUAAAGCCAUACGGCGGAUUUAUAUUUAUAAUUUUGCAUUAGUUGCUCCAUGUUGGGAACAAUUUCUGCAUGCUAUAUAUACAGGACAACAAAAGAUCUCAACGAAUUAUGAUCAGAUCACUAGUAGAAAACAGGGUACUAGUCCCGGUUCGAGAGGGCCUUUAGUCCCGGUUCUGAAACCGGGACAAAACAAACCGAACUAAUGCCCAAAACCUUUAGUCCCGGUUUGCUUACGAAUCGGGACCAAAGGAGGUCCACGUGGCCGCUCUGGGGCGCCAGGGAGGAGGAACCUUUAGUUACAGUUAGUAACACAAACCGGGACUAAAGGGCAGCCACGCAUCAACAGCUCCCAGGUGCUGGGUUUUUAUUUGGAAGGGGGGUUUAUUAGGGGUUUUGGAUGGUUUAGUUAGGGGUUUCAUAUUGUCUUGGCUAUGGCUACUACAUAUAGAGAGAAGUGACCUCUAUUUCUCCGUGCUUGGUCAACGCUACCUACUACAUAUAGAGAGAACUCGAUGGUCAACGCUACCUACUACAUAUAGAGAGAACUCGACGCUAGUAAGAAAAUGAGGAAGCAUUAUACACAAGAUCGUCAUAAACAUAUACAGAGAGAAGUGACCUCUCUUUCUCCGAGAUUGGUCGAACAACAAGUUCUAGUAUUUCUAUCCGACGCUACUACAUAUCUACAAUAUAACACCUCUUACGAUCCCUGACAUCAUAUACCGAUAAUCAGCUUCAAUUUCCACAUGGUAUUUUCCGUCUUUAUGUAUGACGUUGUCAAGAAAGAAUCACACCAAUUCCUCUUCAUUUGCUCGUAUGCGAUCAUGUGGUAGGAGUUCAUCCCGCAUCUGCCACAUCUAAUUUAAAGAAGGGGGUCAAUACAUAUAUAUAUGAAUGAAACUUAACACAAUUGUUUACGUACUUCAUAUUGUUUGUCAGGGUAGCCCCGCUCAGAGGCCGAGUGGUGGAUGAACUCGCAAACGUAGUAUCCAUAUAAAUCAUUGCCGCCUUCCUGCCACAAGCACUUUACGAGAAAUAGAAUUCAACCAAACUAAUAAUCAAGCAUGAUAAAUGGUAAUGAUGAAACUAGAUUCAAUGAGAGAUGCGUGGAACUAGCUAGUACUAUUAACUUUUGUGUGCGUAAAUCACAGCUUCCUCUGCAGACCCGGAACCAUUUCGGUGACUUUUUCCAAACCCUGCCAAGCAAAGAAAAUGAUUACUUGAUAUGAGGAAAUGAAAGAAAGUUGCCGAUAUGAUGCGAUAAUGAUUGAACUUACUUCUGGAGCAUUGCAGUCAUGUCUACAUACUCCUGGGGCUCUUUACGUCUCGAGUCUAAGGCAGUUACUACUCCCCUGUCAAGCUUAAUUUCUAGCAGAAUAAAGUGGAACUUGCGCACGCAUAACUCAUCAAUUACAUUACUUAACCUCGAGUAAGCGAAACCCAAUAUUUACAAGACAGUAACACUCACUUGAAGUUGUAAGGAAAGAUUAUUUUCCCUUUGUUUUGAUGUCGAAGGAACGAUUUUAGCAAGUUUUCUCAGUAAGUUUGGCUCUCUCUUUUACCAACCAUUCAUUUACGGUAUUUGGGCUAAUGAACCAAAUGUAAUAGAUUUGUCCUUGUUUGCAUUCGAUGAUCUUCAAUCUGCAUACUAUAGUGAGGAUAAUUAUAUAUACAUGCAAUGAAGGAGCUGAGCUAGAGACUUAAUUACAGAAGUAAUACUUACAGACAGUAGCAAGUCAUGAGUUGUUUGUCGAUGGCCUGUUGAUUGAAUAACUGAAAUAUUUCCACAAAUUCAACGGGCAGCAGGUCGACUCCAAUGAGGUCGUGCUCUUCUUUAAUUGCUAGCAACAUACUAUCGGUCCCAGACUUCAUGCAGGUAUCCAUGUACCAUUCAUGCAAUCUUCACAUCAUCAUUGUUAGAGGAGGAUGAUCAGGUUUCACGAGAGGCUUCCUGUGCUCGUAUCUGAAGAUCUCUACUACCUCUAACGGUUUGAACUGUACAUCACCGCCCAGGUAAUCACCAAGAUUGGUACCGGGUAGUCACUAGUAGAAAAAGGGCCUAAUGUUUAGCCCUUUAGUCCCGGUUUGUAAAUGAACUGGCACUAAUGUGACCAUUAGUCCCGGUUCGAACGGCUUUGCAUUAGUGCCGGUUCAUUUCUGACAUAUAUAUAGUCCCGUUCUGUAUCACAAACCAGGACUAAAGGGGUGGUGGCAGGCUGGCGUCAGGCCGCGGCCCCACAAGCCCCUUCAGUCCCGGUUUGUGACACAAACCGGGACUAAAGGGCCAACCUAUAGUCCCAGUUUGUAUCACAAACCGGGACUAAAGGGGUCUAACCUUUAGUCCCGGUUGGAGAAACAAAGCGGGACUAUAGGGCAAUUUUCAAACUCUUCCCCCCCCAUAGCCUUUUCUGUUUUGAAAAGAAACCAAAAGAAAAUGAUAAAAAUUUCGAAAAUUAAAAUCCUUUGAGAUGUAGUUAUGUUACUACAUCUAGUAGUUAGGGAAAUUUAAAAACAUAUCUUUCGAUAUGUUUUGCAAAAAAGUGUUAGGAAAAGGUAAAACGACCAUAUCUUUUGCAUACGAUGUCAAAAAAAAAACGCAUAAUAUAUCAAAAAAAUCUGCAUGAAAGAAAAAAAUAUAUGCUCAAAUUUCAGUUCUAACUAUGGUCAAACUAUGGUCAAACUACUUAUUCAUGAAAUAUUAGUGUUAAUAAAUAACUAUUUUAGUUUUUUUAAUUUUGGUCAAACUAUUGGUAAACUAUGGUCAAAUCAGGUCAAACUGUGGUCAAACUAUGGUCAAACUACUUAUUCAAGAAAUAUUAGUGUUACUAAAUAAUUAUUAUUUUUUAGAAUAAUAGUAUCAAACUCAAACGGUGAAACGUGUGACUUCAUGCUCAAGCUAAACUCCUGAGGGUUAAUAGGAUUGACAGCUUACUACUGUGAGGUAAACAACAAGUGCAGACUUGGAAACAAGGGGUAAUAGAACUCGAAAUUUAAGCGUGCUCAGGCUGGAGUAGUGAGAGGAUGGGUGACCGACCGGGACGUUAGACAAUUUGAAAUGAUGAAGGGUGAUUAGGGACUAAAUCAUCAAAUAAUUCAGAAAUUUGAAAAAAUAAAAAUCAAUCUUUUUUAAAAUAAAAUCCUUUAGUCCCGGUUGGUGUUACCAACUGGUACUAAAGGUCCCCCAGUCCACCGCGUGGGCUCGUCCCACGUGGUGGGCCUUUGGCCCCGGUUCGUGUUGAACCGAGACUAAAGAGGGGGGGUACCUUUAGCCCCCACCUUUAGUGCAGGUUAUAGAACCGACACUAAAGGUCCUUACGAACCGGUACAAAAGGUCGUUUUUCUACUAGUGAGUAGCCCGACAUGAUUACCGAUGAUAUCGCUAGACACCUUGAGCGGGGGCACGAUUGCUUCGCCAGUUCGCCAACCUAGGGAAUUGUUUCCCCAAUUUUUCGCUACUCUUGCAUCACUAGAAGUACUUCCCGACCGCCGCACUUCAUCAUAUGUCUUUUUAAUACAUCGCUCAUAGUUGGAAUCCGGCAGAGGCGGUGGUUAUCGCUUAAGGGCAUGCAGAGUGCGCUUUGCUUUCACCGGAUCUAUUGUUUCCUUUGGAGGUGGAGGUUUCCGUGCAAAAUGGUCCUACACUUUGGCAGCACUGAUGUCCGUGUUUUCCUCUUCGGUCCUCUCAUAUGGUAACUUUUCCGGAGCCUUGAGGCUUGGACCGUAUUUGAAUUUCAUCCCGCCUCUGGUUGUACUGCUAGCCGCAGGAGCGGUGGCGUCUUCUUCCGCCGUUGCUGACGUGGCGGAGUCCGCUGACACGCCGGAGGAGGCAAAGUACUGCCCUGACACUCCGGAGGAGGCGGAGUGCCCUGACGAGGCGGAGGAGGAGGCAGAGUGCCCUGACGCGGCGGCGGAGGAGGAGGAGUGCCCUAAUGCGGUGGAGGAGGAGGCGGAGUGCCCUAACUCACCGGAGGAGGAGGAGGACGCGUCCAGUUUGAAAGCUUGAUGUACUCCUUUCUCCAUAGAUAGGUACUCCUUAAAGCAUUUUCCAGAUGUAUCUUCCCUUCACCUGUAGGCUAGUCAAGCUCCAGCUCCUCAAAUCCCUCCAUUAUUUCAUCCACUAUCACAACAGCAUAGCCAUGUGGAAUCGGACAAGAAUGAAAAGUUCCCUCAGCUUGAAGAGGUACAAUAGAGCUGACCGCCGCCUCCAAGGUCAGGUUUUGGCAUUUGUCAUUAGCUCGCAAUGUUUAGCCUCCGUGAUACUAUCCAUGGGGUAGCGAGGAGCCAUGAAAUCAGGCUAAACGGGCUCUAUGGAAGCCACGCUGCUUCUCCGCUAAGAUGGUUGGGUAGCUUCUGGAGCAGCGUCCAAGCAAGGAUCCUCUAGCUUUGCUAAUCUUGCAGUGAGCCUCUACAUUUCGGUUGCUUCCGCAUUCCUCUUUCUCUCUCGGCUUCUAUAACCACCGAUGUCAGGAAACCUAUGCACCCACGGAACGGAGCCUGGUGUGCCUCGUGUUCGUCCAAGGUGCUAAGGAUUCUCAAGGGCCUCUGUCAUCUCGUCCUUCUCUCUGUCGGGAAUGAACGUCCCUUCCUGCGCUGCCUUGAUUGCUUCCUGAAGCUUCUUGAUGGGUAUUGCAAGUUGCUCAUCUGUCCAAACACACAUCCCUGUUUCUGGGUCCGAAGUUCCCCCAACCCCGAAGAACAAAGUCCUUGAACGAUCUCGCCAGUAGAAUGUCGCUGGUUGGACCCCUUUAGCAUGCAGGUCUUGCUCAGCUUUGUCCCACAAUGGUCGGGCUUCUUAGUAGCCACCUGACUUUGUGUGAUGGUGAUACUUCUACUUUGCAACAUUUUUCUUUUUCUUAGUGACCUUUUCUUACCCUUCUCCGAUUUCUAGUAGGCCACAAAUGUGGGCCAGUGAUCUCUUAUCUUCUCAUGUCGGCCGAUGAAUUCUCGAUUCUUCUGUUUGUCAACAAACUUUGUGUUCAACUCUUUCUUCCAUUUCAUGAAUAGUUCUGCCAUCUUAUUAAGAGAAAACGCCUUGACAUUUCGCUCUAUAAUUGGGUUAUUUGGCUCCUCCUCUAGUGGUAGGCUGAAAUCUGUCAUCAGCGAGGUCCGAACAUCAUCUUUCUGUCUAUCCUGGACAUAAGAAACUUCAGGGUCAUCCUUAUUCUUAUUCCAUUGCUGGAUGCUCAUCGGGACGCUGUCCCUAACAACUCUGCACUGAUGUAGAAAUGCGUCCUUGGUCCGCUUGGGAGCAAUCGGUUAGCCAUUUUGAGUGACUUCUGUGAUCCUGAACCUUUCAUCCUAGCGCAACCUUUUCUUUGGGCCUCUUCUCCUUACCUAAGUUUGGCUCGAUCUGGAAGGCUAAAAGAAUAGGUCACCGGAGCCGUCAUGAUGAUCUCCUUCCUCCGCCAUUCAAUCACCGGAGCCGCAUGAUCUCCUUCCUCCUCCAUUGACGGAUCAGCGGAGCCAUCAUCCUCUCCUUCCUGACCAUUGUUAUCGUUCAGAAACGACAAGAGAUCACCUCCGGUGAGGAUUAUAUCUGCAACAACUGUUCUUGUUCUAAGUCUCUUUCCAUAGUUUCUGAAAAUAUUACAAUAUGGCAAUAUACAAACAUGAAAGUUGGAUUACUGGAAAACAUAGACCUAGCUAACCACAACAAGGAAUCAUAUGCAUAUAUGAGCAAUGGAUUAGUUGCGGACCGCCUCUCUCAUGCAUGUCCGACGUCCCCCCUCAUCGAAGUUAUCGGGGUUAUACUUUCAGGAGAGGACACUUUGCAAAGAAUAAUCGCUAUGCAAGAGACCAAACUAUCCAUGCAUUCUACCCCAUAGACCUAUGCUGCCAACGAUAGAUCGACAACGACGCUCUUUCUUCUAGGGUUUGGGUGGUCUCGAUAGUUGGUCGGGCGAGCAGACCGCCUCUCUCUCAUGCAUGUCCGACGUUCCCCCUCAUGUCAAAGUUAUCGGGGAGGGCGUAGAUCGACAAUGAUGCUCUUCCUUCUAGGGUUUGGGUGGCCUCGAUAGUUGGUCGGGCGAGUGGACCGCCUNNNNNNNNNNNNNNNNNNNNNNNNNNNNNNNNNNNNNNNNNNNNNNNNNNNNNNNNNNNNNNNNNNNNNNNNNNNNNNNNNNNNNNNNNNNNNNNNNNNNNNNNNNNNNNNNNNNNNNNNNNNNNNNNNNNNNNNNNNNNNNNNNNNNNNNNNNNNNNNNNNNNNNNNNNNNNNNNNNNNNNNNNNNNNNNNNNNNNNNNNNNNNNNNNNNNNNNNNNNNNNNNNNNNNNNNNNNNNNNNNNNNNNNNNNNNNNNNNNNNNNNNNNNNNNNNNNNNNNNNNNNNNNNNNNNNNNNNNNNNNNNNNNNNNNNNNNNNNNNNNNNNNNNNNNNNNNNNNNNNNNNNNNNNNNNNNNNNNNNNNNNNNNNNNNNNNNNNNNNNNNNNNNNNNNNNNNNNNNNNNNNNNNNNNNNNNNNNNNNNNNNNNNNNNNNNNNNNNNNNNNNNNNNNNNNNNNNNNNNNNNNNNNNNNNNNNNNNNNNNNUUAUCGGGGAGGAGUAAAUUUUAACUUAGUGAGUCUUUUAGUUAACUCAUUUUGAAUAUAUGAUCAAUUUAACUUAGUAACUUAGUAACUUGUUAAAAUUUAACUAAUUUCCAUGAACAAAAAAAUAUUCUAUGAACAAAAAAACAAUGGAAAUAUUUUCACAUGAGCUAAAGAUUGGUGGGAUCGGCGUCGGGGCAGGGAGCUACGGCCGGCGUUAGGGGCUCGGUGUUGGGGCACGGAGCGGCUGCCACCUUCUGGGGCUCGUUGUCGGGGCAGGGAGCGGCGACUGGCGUCGGGGGCUCGACGUCGUGGCAGGGACAGUGUCGGGGGCGGCGAGGAGGAACUACAGAAAAAAUUUGACCAAGUUUUCAUACAAUCAAAGAACUCUAUAUAUCAUCAUCAUCUAUAAUCACAAUCAAAGAACUCUAUGUAUCGUCAUCAUCAUAUCAUCUACAUAAAAAUUUAAAGAAAAAAUAAUCUAUAUAUCACCAUAAUGAAAAUUAUCUAACAUAAUAUCAUCAUAUCAUCUAUAUAUAUAUAUCAUCAUUUCAUCAAAUUAUCUAACAUAAUGAACUAUAUAUCAUAUCAUAUCAUCAUCAUCAAAGAACUAUAUAUAUAUCAUAUCAUCAUUUCAUCAAAUAACUCAUAUCUUGUAUAUACUCCCUCCGUUCCUUAAUGUGAGGUGUAUUAUUUUUGGUACGGUGACCAAGGCACAUAAUUAUAGAGGUGUUAGGACAAAAUUACCCUUCAAAAAUUUGUUGGUUAGUGGCAAGUAAAUGAGUGAGUCAAGGAAAGUAAGAGAUACAUGCAAUCGAGAGAGAGAUAGUUUUCUUCCUUGAUACAAGAAGAGAUACAAGCAAUCAGGAGAAAUAUACUUUCCUUUUUUCUCGAGGGCUGAAAAGGGAAUUACAAGGAUUUAGAAGAAAUACAUCUUACAUUAUGGAAUUUUAUCGAAAAAACAAAUUCACCUUAUAUAAAGGAACGGAGGGAGUAUAUAUAUAUAUAUAUCAUCAAACAACUAUAUAUAUCAUCAUAUAUAAUGAGCAGAGGAGCGGAGAGCUCACUGGGAGCGGCGAUGAGGAGGCGGGGCACGUCGAUGAGGGCGGCGACGUCGGGGCAAGGGCGAUGGCGAUGGCGACAUUAGGGCAAAGGCGCGCGGCGGCGGCGACUAGGCAGGGGAGCACAGCAACGUAGGCGCAGGGGCACGCGGCGACGGCUACGAGGCAGGGGCACAUGGCGACGACUACGAGGCAGGGGCACGCGGCGACGACUACGAGGCAGGGGCGCACGGCCACGUCGUGGCAGGGGCGCGUGGUGACAGCGACGAGCCAGGGGCGCGUGGUGAUGGCGAUGAGUAGGCAGAGCACGAUGAUGGGAGAGGGAGACGACGUCGGUGCAGGGAGCAGCGGCUGGCGUCGGGGCUGGGACGGAGACGGUGACGGCGACGAGCAGCGGGUAGAGCAGCAGCCUGGCGGCAUCGGGUCGCAGGGCGUCGGCAUCGGGGGGAGAAUGUGAGGAAUUGGGGAAAAUCUAAAUUGUUGGCUUAUAUAGCCCCACCCUUUAGACCGGGCUGAUGGCACCAAUCGGGACCAAUGCACACCUUUUCAUCAGCCCAGAGUGCGGGAAGCAGAGAUCUUUACUCCCGGUUGGUGCCACCAAACGGGACGAAAGGUGGGCAUUGGUCCCGGUAGGUACCACCAACUGGGACGAAAGGUCUGCGGCUGACACGGCGUCGGGCGGGUGGAUGUUUAGUCCCAUCUCGCUAGUUGAGAGGCGUCGAGAGUGGUUUAUAAGUGUGGCUGUUCCAACCCUUUCGAGCUCCUCUCUUAUGCAGGCAUACGGGCCUAAACACACUCACUCUACCUGUGGGCCUAUUGGGCCUGCUACGGGUCUGCAUCCUGGCCCAACUAGCGGGUUGGUUUCUAGUCUUAUGCAGACCGUGGUGGCCCAGUAGGCGCCAUUUUUGUUAAAUUUUUUUCCAGUAUUUUUGUUUUAUUUUUUUCUUUCUUUAUUUUCUUUGUUUCUACUUACAGCUAAAUACUUAAGAGUUUUUGAGUGAUUCUUCUUGCUUUAGGUCACAAAAAUUAUAUAAUUACUGUUAGUGCCAUUAAUUUUCAAUUUGAAUAGUUUAAAUUUGAAUUCUUUCAAAGUUGUGUGAGCCACUACUUUGUGAAUAACUUUACUUUAAAAUAGAUUUUUGAGUGAUUCUUUUUCCUGCUAUUUAAAAUAGAUUCUUUUUCUAACAAAAAAUACUUUACGAAAAUCCUUUUUGCUAUUAAUAUUUUGAAAAAAAUUACUUUUAUAAUUUUAGUUGCAUAAAUUUCAUAUAAUUUUAGUUUCAAAAAUACUAGAGGUUUAUAAAAUCUUUUUGGUUGAUUCUUUUUGCUGUUGAAGUAUAUUAUAGUUCAAUUUUAGUUGAUCAUAACAAAAAAAAUUAAUUGAUUAUUUUUAGUUGCAUAAAUUUUAUUUUUUAUAGAUUCUUUUUAGUCUAUUCCUUUUAUUAUUAGAGUUUAUAAAAGCUUUUUAGUUGAUUAUUUUUGCUAUUGAAGAAUAUUAUAGUUUUCUUUUAGUUGAUCAUAACACAAUAUUUUAAUUGAUUCUUUUUUGUUCAUUCUUUUUUGCUAUUAGGGCUUUAUAAAAGUUUUCUAGUUCAUCCUUUUUGUUAUUAGUUCAUUCUUUGAGCUAAAUUACCCUGAAAUUGAAAAGCACUAGAAAUGAACUCUGGAAAGGUUGAAAGUUGGCAUGGUGUCAUCAUUUAAACCACAUAAGAUGUGUUGAAAUGUUGAGAGGGCUACACCAAAAACUGGAUGCACUUCGUGUACAAAAUGGACAAUCUCUUUCAAAGUAUCAGGGUUUCGGACGGAAAGUCAUCUGUUACAAAGGGAUUUCAUGUUUUGAACUUAAUUGACCUCUGGAAUUUUUGUGUGUUCAAAAUUCACCAUUCAAAUCCACAUCAUUAAUCUUGAACCCUUUCUGACUUCAUUUGGUAUUUUCCAUGCAUUUACUUAAUUUUUUGAGCUAAAUGCCCCUGAAAUUGAAAAGCACUACAAGCAAACUUUGAAAAUUUGAGAGGGUUACGGAAAAAACUAAAUGCACUUUAUGUACAAAAUGGACAAUCUUUUUGGAAGUAUCAGGGUUUCGGACGAAAACGCAUCUGUUACAAAGGGAUUUCAUUUUUUUGAACUUAUUUGAACUCCAGACUUUUUGUGUGUUCAAAAUGCACCAUUCAAAGCCACUUUAUCAACUAUGCACUCUUUGUGACUUUAUUUGGUAUUUUUCAUGCAUUUACUAAUAUUUUUUGACCUAAAUGACCCUAAAAUUGAAAAGCACUACAAAUGAACUCUGAAAAGGUUGAAAGUUGGCAUGGUAUCAUCAUUUCACCCACAUAGCAUGUGCUAAAAACUUGAGAGGGUUACCGCAAAAACUGGAUGCGCUUCGUGUACAAAAUGGACAAUCUCUUUCGAAGUAUCAGGGUUUCGGACGAAAACUCAUCUGUUACAAAGGGAUUUCAUUUUUUUGAACUUAUUUGAACUCCAGGCAUUCUGUGUGUUCAGAAUGCACCAUUCAAAGCCACUUCAUCAAUUUUCAACCCUUUCUGGUUUCAUUUGUUAUUUUUCAUGCAUUUACUGAUUUUUGAGCUAAAUGACCCUGAAAUUGAAAAGCACUACAAAUGAACUCUGAAAAGGUUGAAAGUUUGCAUAUAUCAUCAUUUCACCCACAAAGCAUGUGCUAAAAAGUUAAGGGGGUUACGGCAAAAGCUGGAUGCACUUCAUAUACAAAAUGGACAAUCUCCUUCGAAGUAUCAAUGUUUCGGAUGAAAACUCAUCUAUUACAAAAGGCAUUUCAUUACUUGACAUGUAACUGUAGUGAUAUUCUAGAUCAAAGCCAUCAUCACAAUAGUUGUGCAGACAAAGUUUUCACUUUUUCUUUGCGUGUCUCCCUUACUUAUUGCACCGUAACCAUGGAUAAUCUUCAUGGUUUAACAGGGUGCUUGGGUCAACCUUGACUUUGAAGGGAGGAAUUUCAUGAAACUUUUAAUAAUCUUCAACCAUGUAUGUUUGGGCCUCCACUCCCACGAUGUCUCUUUUCCUUGAAAGAACUAUGUGGCGCUUUGGCUCAUCGUAUAUGUAUUCGCUUCGUUAUAUUUUCUUUUUCUCGGUUUGGUAGACAUGUCCUUCAAAUAGAAAACCUGCGCCACAUCAUUGCUAGGAUGAAUGGUUCGUCUGUGUACCCAAGAUUGUUCAGAUCCACUGUUUUCAUUCCCUACUGCGAGUUUACCCUGUACCAUGCGUCCUCACAGAUUGACCCAUUUGCACCGAAACAAAGGGACCUUAAAAUCAUGUCCAUAGUCAAGUUCAGGUCCACUAUGUAACCAUAAUAUGUGUCCUUUCCCCUAUUGGUUGCUGCAUCAAAGAGGACACCACUAUUUUCGUCAGUGCUCUUUUGAUCUUGGGCGAUCAUGUGAAAUGUAUUCCCAUUUAUCUCGUACCCUUUGUAAGUCAAUACAGUCGAAGAUGGUCCCCUAGCCAACGAGUACAGCUCAUCAACUUGGCCUUUGAAAUCCUUGCCUUACUUUCGACAUUGAUGGUUGGUCGGAAAAAAUCGAUGAUGUCCUAAGUACACAUUCUUCUUGCAUUUGUUCACAUAUACUUUCGGUGUCAUGUAAACAGUACAUGCAUGCAUGGUAUCCCUUGUUUGUUUGUUUGUCCUGAAAGGUUACUGAGAGCAGGCCAAUCAUUGAUGGUAACAAACAAUAACACAUGUAGGUCAAAUUUCUCCUCGUCGUGCUCAUCCCACAAACAUACACCUUUUCCAUUCUACAACUGUAAAACUUCUUCAACUAAUGGCCUUAGGUGCACAUCAAUGUCGUUGCCGGGUUGCGUAGGGCCUUGGAUGAUCACUGGCAUCAUAAUGAACUUUCGCUUGAUGCACAACCAAGGAGGAAGGUUAUAGAUACAUAGAGUCGCGGGCAAGGUGCUAUAAUUGCUGCUCUACUCCCCAAAAGGAUUAAUACCAUCCGCGCUUAAACCAAACCAUACGUUCCUUCCGUCACCUACAAAGUCCCCCACGUUCUAUCAUUUUUCACUCCACUGCGCCCUGUCAGUGGGUGCUCUCAACUUUCCGUCUUUCUUACGGUCCUCUUUGUGCCAUCACAUCCACUUGGCAUGCUCUUUGUUUCUAAAUAGACGUUUCAACCGUGUUAUUAUAGGAGCAUACCACAUCACCUUGGCAGGAACCCUCUUCCUCGGGCGUUCGCCCUCAACAUCACCAGGCUCAUCUUGUCUGAUCUUAUAUCGCAAUGCACCGCAUACCGGGCAUGCGUUCAAAUCGAACUUAAGAAAGACAUGCAUUUCUUACGGUCCUCUUUGUGCCAUUACAUCCACUUGGCAUGCUCUUUGUUUCUAAAUCGAACUUACGGUCCUCUUUUGAACUUAGGAGCAUACCAGUCAUUAGGGCAUGCAUGUAUCUUAUGCACCACCAAUCCUAGAGGGCAUAUAACCUUCUUUGCUUCGUACGUACUGUCAGGCAAUUCCUUAUCCUUUGGAAGCUUCUUCUUCAAUAUUUUCAGUAGCUUCUCAAAUCCAUUGUCAGAUACACCAUUGUUUACCUUCCAUUGCGGCAAGUGGUACCGAGAUUUGUGUUGCCAUCUUUGCAAUUUAGGUACAACCCUUUUUUGUGAUCCUCUAGCAUGCAAUCGAACUUUAACUUCUCCCUUUCACUUUGGUAUUGUCUCUUUGCAUCAACAAUGACCCGGCGAAGAUCAUCAUCGGGCGCAUCACCUUGUUCCUCUUGAUCUUCAGCUCCCCCCAUUGCAGCAUCACCGUAUUCAGGGGCAGAUAGUUAUAAUCACCCUCUUCUUGUUUGUUGUCUUCCAUCAUAACCCCUCUUUCUCUGUGCUUGGUCCAAACAUUAUAGUUUGGCAUGAAACAAAUCCAAGCAAGCGGAUGUGAAGGGUUUUCGACUCAGAGUAAGACUUCGUAUUCCCACAGAUAGGGCAUGGACAACACAUAAAACCAUUCUGUUUUUUUGCCUUAGUCACUUCGAGAAAAUUAUGCAUGCCCUUAAUGUACUCGGAGGUGCGUCUGUCACCGUACAUCCAUUGCCGGUCAUCUGCGUGCAUUAUAUAUAAUUAAGUGUGUCAAAAACCAUUACAGAACAUCACGAAUAGAGAAGUGGCCAAAUUAAUAGAACUUCAUCAUCACAGUAAAACCAAAUUACAGUAGUGAUCAAAUGUUAUUACUGAAAAAUAAAUACAUAAAGUUCAUACAUAGUUCUAUUGAACAACAUAUAAAUCUAUAGAGCAUCUAACUAAAACAUACAUUAAAACUAUGUAAAACAUUUAUAUGCAACAUCAAAUGCGAUCAUAACCACAAGUAAGGUAACAAUCGAUCCAAUGGCAUAAUGAUACCAAGCCUCAGUAUGAAUGGCAUAUUUUCUAAUCUUUCUAAUCUUCAAGCGCAUUGCAUCCAUCUUGAUCGUGUGAUCAUCGACGACAUCCGCAACGUGCAACUCCAAUUUCAUCAUCUCUUCCUUAAUUUUUUUCAAUUUUUUCUUCAAGUAAUUAUUUUCUUUCUCAACUAAAUUUAGCCUCUCGACAAGAGGAUCGGUUGGAAUUUCGGGUUGACAUACCUCCAAGAUAAAAACAUCUAUGUCAAGUUGGUCAGCAUAAUUAUCAUAUACAGUAAAUGUAACAGAUAGUUAUAAAAGAUCAUAUAUACCACAUCCGAAUCAUAGACAUGACGAGGGCCGAUGGGUGCGGAUACCAAAACCAUCGCACUAUAUAAUAACAAACAAUAAUAAAAAUAAGAAAAUUAUACAAGUAUCUAUCUAAAUCAUACAAGUAAGAAUUUUUCUUCUUUCAAAAAGAAGAUAAGAACAAGAGGCUCACCACAGUGAUGCUGGCAACGAGAUUGGCACAGGCGGUCUACCAUAGUGAGGACGGGGACGGGACAUGACGGAUCACCAAACCUAGACAAAUCUUGAGGAAAAUGGAGUUUGACAAGGAGCUUGGGGAGGAGAAAGCUUAAGUGUGGCAAGGGAAUUUCAUCAAACACGUCAUGUGCAUAGGAGGUGAGUUAGAGCAACACACACCUCUCCCACGGCCGACAAAAAAAACAGAGCAGUGAGCGGACAGGGGUAUAUAUAGGCAUCUCUUUAGUCCCGGUUGGUGGCUAGAACCGGGACAGAAGACUGAUAUUUGGUCCCGGUUCCAUCCACCAACCGGGACUAAAGAUGCUGGCCCAUGAGCGAGUCCCAUUGGUCCCUGUUCGUGUCUGGAACGGGACCAAAAGUGUCAAACAAACUGGGACCAAUGGUUCCCGAGGCCCGGCCGGCGCCCUGGCCUCAUGAACUCGAACUGAUGUACCCUUCGGUCCCAGUUCGUGAGUGAACCGGGAUUAAUGCCCUUAUCCUGACCUCAACCAAAGUCCUGUUUUCUACUAGUGGAUUAUCCUCAAAAAAAAUAUCUGAUCAGAUUUGUUGAGUUAUAACGCGAGCAACUUUUGUACAUGCUCAUGUGUAUGAUGUGCCUACUGUUCUACCUACCGGACCUAAUAAUCUUUACUUCUAAAACGGACUUAGUAGCUUCCCGUCCACAAUUAACUUUUGCUUCACCUUCCACCAUUAUUUAUUUCAUCUGGGUUUUUUCGCCUCACCUCCCACAACUCCCUUCCACUAGAUUUUUCUCCCUCCCACUUUAUCUUUGGAAACCAAGUAAUUCAUGUAUGGUAACCAAUCUUUUAUUUGGUAGUACAAACACAAUCAAUACAAAUACAAUCACUAUGCUUAUGGUAAUCAAUAUCUUGUUUGAUAACACAAGAGUAACUUUGGAGAGUAGUCAAUCUCCUUCUUGUUGUCAAUCAAUUUCUUUAUAUUAAGCUUUGUAAUCGACCUCCUUUUCUUCCCGGGGCAGUACAUAGAUCAUUCGUCGAGUAGCUCCUCCCACCAAUCGAAGAGAUCCCACUCAGAUUCUUUUUCCUAUUGACAAAGCGUACCUCUUGUUCCCGGUUUCACUUUGUUUUUUUUAUCUUGUUGUCUCCACAUCAGCCCGCAACGCCCAAACCACAUCCUUGGCCGCAGCCGCAGAGCACAUGACCCUCGCCCUAGCUCCCCACUUUCUUCCUUCUCAACCGGCGAUUUAGGGGUUUGAUGAUUUACCCCAGGAUUGUCUCAAUGGCUAAUGGCCAGGCCCACCCGUCAAUCUCGAGGGGGGUGNNNNNNNNNNNNNNNNNNNNNNNNNNNNNNNNNNNNNNNNNNNNNNNNNNNNNNNNNNNNNNNNNNNNNNNNNNNNNNNNNNNNNNNNNNNNNNNNNNNNNNNNNNNNNNNNNNNNNNNNNNNNNNNNNNNNNNNNNNNNNNNNNNNNNNNNNNNNNNNNNNNNNNNNNNNNNNNNNNNNNNNNNNNNNNNNNNNNNNNNNNNNNNNNNNNNNNNNNNNNNNNNNNNNNNNCAAAGUUAGAAGUAAAGUGUGGGUUAAGAUCAAAUUUUCCAGUUCAACCUGUCACAGCUCGCCCGUUCCCCUUCCAAGCUAGCACCAAUCUUCUUGGCCCCCGCAUUAUCCUAUCCUCCCUCUAUGGCAUCCGCCAUGGCGCGCUCCACAUUGUCGAUAUCCAGGUUUCAAUGAGGCAGCGAUUUCAAGCGUUGGGACUAUAGAUCUAGGCCUUCUGGCGCCGCAAUUAUAUGCUGCCCGUCGGCUCUGGCGGCAACAAAUCACGGUGGCCGUGGCGAGCGUGCGUUCAAUGAAGCAGAUGUAGUCCUAAUCCUUUCCUUCGAAGUCAUCCUCCUAUCCCAUUCGUGGAUCCCUUACAACCUCUACCUCCUCCGCCAUCGAGCUCUGCCGCCCGGUUUCGUAUCUCUCAUUUUUGCUUUGUUGCAUUAUUGAAUUGGUUAUGAAUUUGUACUAUUUGAUCGAUGCAAAUGGACUUGCAUGAAUAUGAGGGUUUUGAAAUAAGGAGUGUGGUUAUCUAGUGGUACUUUUGAGGGGUUGUCAUGUGCUCUCUGAGGUCACGUGCCUUAAAAGGCAGAUCAACAAAACUUUAUGCUAUUUGCCGGUCAAAAAAAAAAAAACUUCGGUCUAAUAUGACUUUGCUAUUUGUUGGUGUGUUUAUAUGUGCUUGCAUUAUUGUUGAUUGUGUGCAUCCUAGCUAUAUAAAGGCUACAUGUGUGCUCAUUUGUUUGUACCCACUUGAUGAUUCAUCUUGAGCUUACAAAAUCCAACCUUUAUCGAAAACAGUAAAUUACCAAUUGUACUGUUAAUUUUGGCAUGUUUGAAUUGUUGAGUUGUGGUUCGUUUUGCUUUGUUGCAGUGUUUCUAUAUGAUCGAUGUGCAUGGAUUUCCACGGAAUUGAGGGUUUUGAUAUGAGGAUUCUGAUUGUCCUGCAGGACUUUUGAGGGGUUGUCUGGCACUGUCCAGCAUUGCACCGCGGAGAAAAUCUUGGUAAGAGAAACAUGGGGUUCAAUUACUUCUGCACAAGAGCAGCCACCUUGAUUGCUUGGACCCUAGAUAAAUACUUGUUAGCUAUAAUCUUGACUUAGCGGUGCGUGGGUGGCGGCCGAGCUGUUAUGCUGCUGCAUGCAUGGUUGUUAGCUGCACAGCCCGGUCUUCUUGAUCGUAGAGAGAUUCCAGUGAGUAGUUAGUGCAUGUGUUAGUGGUCUAAUGUGGUGGCUGGUUAGGCUAGUGCGUGCGUGUGUGGCCGGCCGCGUGUGUACUAGUACUUAAGAGCAUCUCUAGCAGACCCCUUCAACCGCAAAACUAAACACGGCUGAGUAGACCCCUUAAACUUAGACUGUAAAAACGAAUAUUCACGUAUAUUCUUCCCCACUUCUUCUUCUUCCUCUCGCCCGUGUCCACGGCUAGCUAGCUUGCUCCUACGAAGCCGACGGACAAAUAUGAAAUACGAUGCCGCCGGCCUCCCGAACGACUCGCACUAAGCGCCCCAGCGUCAAAACGUCGCCUUCGCUGCUUGAAUCAGUCGAGAAGCUGGCUAGCGUCGGCGUGGAAUGGAUCCACGAGCUAGCUAGCUGGCUGGGUAAUCGAUCGACCCAGGAGCUGGCUAGUUAGCUCCCGUCGGCGUGGCCAAUCGAUCCAGCCCGUGGCCAAGGGAUUACGUAUCCGCCGCAUCUCGCAUCGAUUCAGCUGGAGACGGGCCGCGGGCGCGGCGGCCGGGCGGCGGUGAGCUUCAACUUGUUGGCGCGGGCUGAGAUUUCCUAACUGCCAACGUUGACCGCUAUUCAGUGCCGUGGCAAAAUUGCCUUCGAAACUGAAGAUAUGAGGCUCUCGCGUUUGGGUUCACGGGGCCCGUAAUUUUUUUUUAAGGGUCGGACGAUUUUAAAGGAUCUGUUCGGUCCAUUUUUCCAACUGAAACGGUAAAAAAAAACGGUUAUUUUGCGUGUUCGGCUACUUAUUGUUAGCUUAAUCUUGAUCAUUUGUAUCUGCAUAUUAGUUUUAGCCAUGCAUGUAGCAUAGGUUAGGGAGUCCUUGUCCGGCGACGUCUCCGGCCGAGCAUGCAAGGAAGGCGAGGUGCUAGCUACCGUGUGAUGCCGUCGUGCAAGGUGUGAUGCCGUGGUGCUCUGGGAUGCAGCGCUGCCGUGAGAAGCGGCGAGCAGGCGUGUGACGGAUGGAAUGGCUGGACAAAACAGUAGAGAAAAUGGGUAAGGCGUCCUAGUUUGUUAGGAUGGCUGAGUCGUUAGUCAUGUGGCCGUUGAGGAGUCUACGAAGGUGCUGAACUGGCCGAGUGAUUCGGUCAAGCAGCUAGUGAUUAGCAUCAUGCAUGGGUUAGUUGGUUAGUGGCCGGGUAGGACGGUCAGCCUAGUGGGUGUGUGCGUGAGUUAGUGGCUUGGUGUGGAGUCAUUUGUACAGACUAUUUAAGUUGAUCAGAUGAAUGGAAGAGAAAAGGCCGAGAGGGCUGUGAAGAAAAGAUGUAGCCAGUGCAUUCAUCAAGGAGAGAGCGCCCGGGCAAAGCUAGAGGCUGGUCUUCUCCUUGGUGUAUGCGUGCGUUUGCGUGUAGUGUUUUCACCAUGUGUGUGUGUUCUUGAGAGGAAGUACAAGAGAAAUGAUACAGAUUGAGGGAAGAGAAAGCUGUGCGAGGCAGCCAAGAGGAAGAAGAAGCCGCGCUGCGAGGAGGCGGCGCCAACACUUAUACGGGGUUUGCUAGAGAUGCUCUAAGAGUUGUGCCUGUGUGCCGAGGGGGCAGAGCAAAGAGUAACUAGGAGAAACAUUGUAGUCUCCGGUGGUGUCUCUCCCGUGUGUGUGCUCACCAUGAGGAAUAGAAGCUGGAGUUAGCCUCCACGGCGUGUAGUCUCCCAUGUAAGUGCUACGGCUUGUUGCCGAGCUGGGUAUGCGCCCAGUAAAGAAUUCGCCAUUCGUGCGGCGUAGCACCGUUCGUGCGGCGGAGGCGUUUGCGUGCUGGAAAAAAAAUCUGCGUGCUCUUUAUUCUACCUUCGUCUCAGCGCGCGCGAGAGAGAGAGCUUGUCCGGGGUUUGUCCCAACAAUACUUUUAUUACUUUACCAAUGUGUUUAUAGAAUUACAAAUCGAACGAAUUGUUUGUCAGUACUAGAAAAUUAUUUUGAAGAAAUAUUCUAUAGAUAUCGUUUCUAUAUUUUGGUUGAAAAAUAUUUUAUAUAUGACAUAAUGAGGGUGAUCACGUAUCUACAAGGUUUUAUGUAAUAUUAGACUUUACACCAUAUGAAAUACAGAAUGACAGAGAAGGGAACUAGAUACAGUAGUUCGUAUAUUUUUUUAAUAUUUUUAGAAAAGGGGGAUUACCCCAGCCUCUGCAUCAGAGACAUGCAUACGGCUCAUAUUAUUAAAAACUAAAUCAGUAACAAAGUCUCCAGUAUCUGAAAGUACGAAAAGAAAAACAUAUCGCUCAUAUGAGCCGAAAGAAAAAGCCACAACCGGCAAGGCAAACAAAAUAGGAAGCACUACAUGUCUAUCCUAUUACAUGACCGCCAUCCAAACCGGUUGAAAAUAACCCGAGCUACCAUCUUCCAUCGGGUAGAUGCAGUAGCCAAACGCCCCCUGGACUCCAUGGGAGUGAGUAGCGACCACGCUGUGGCCCUGAAGAUAACCUACAAAAAGUGAAAGUUCGUUGUUCUGUUAAAAACCAAAUCAUUUCUGCAGUCCAGACUGCCCAUAACAGAGCACUAACUCCAACACGAAUGUGCCUCGCUAUAACCGAGUCAACCCCAUCAAGCCACGAUCCAAAUAACAUGUUGAUAGAGGUUGGUGGAGUAAUAUUAAAAGCAAUAUGAAUCGAACGCCAAAGAAUCUUAGCCAGCGGACAAUCUAGAAAGAGGUGCCUUAUAGUUUCGUUAUGAUCACAAAAACUACACUUAGCAGAACCCGUCCAAUUGCGUUUUGCCAGAUUAUCCUUUGUCAAAAUAACUUGUUUAUGCACAAACCACAUAAACACUUUGAUUCGCAAAGGUACCUUAACUUUCCAGACAUGCUCCGAGUACGGAAUGACACUAGUGUUUAUGACAUCCAGAUACAUGGAUUUGACCGAGAACACGCCGUCCUUAGUCAGUUUCCAAUACAAUCUAUCGGACCGCUGAGUCAGCUGGACUUCCAUCAGUCUUUGUACCAGAUGAAGCCAGGCCUCCUAACGAUCGCCUACCAGUGUCCUCCGAAAGCUAAUAUUGAGAGGCGUGGACUGGAAGACUGUUGCAAUGUAUGUUUCUCGACAUUGAACAAUGUUGUACAGAGUAGGAUAUUGAAGUGCGAGGGGCGUCUCCCCAAGCCACGUAUCCUCCCAGAACCUCGUAUUAGCCCCAUCACCGACUAAGAUCUUUGCCCUACUAAAGAAUAGGGGCUUGACUCUCAUCAAUCCUUUCCAAAAUGGUGAGUCAGUCGGGCGCACAGUCACCUGAGCCAAAGUUUUAGACUGAAGAUACUUAUGUCACAGAAUCUGAGCCCAAGUAGCCUCAUUCUCGGCCAAGAGUUUAAAUAGCCACUUACUAAGGAGACAUCUAUUCUUGAUUUCAAGAUUUUCAAUGCCCAGACCGCCUUGGUCCUUCGGCCGACAAAUGAUGUCCCAUUUUGCAAGUCUAUACUUUCGUUUCAACUCUUCAUUCUGCCAAAAGAAGCAAGACGAUAAAAGUCUAACCUCUUUCUGACCCCCACUGGGACCUAAAAAAAGGAUAAAAGAAACAUAGGCGUACUGGUGAGGACCGAAUUAAUCAUAAUUAAUCGCCCUCCAUAUGACAUGAGCUUCCCUUUCCAACAGCUCACUUUCUUUUCAAAACGAUCUUCGAUGCACUUCCAUUCCUUGUUCGUCAGCUUACGAUGAUGAAUGGGUAUACCUAAGUAAGUGAACGGUAACGAACCCAUCUCACAUCCGAACAAUUGCUUAUACGCCUCCUGCUCAUCAUUAGCUCUUUCAAAGCAAAACAAUUCUCUCUUAUGGAAGUUAAUCUUGAGCCCAGACAAUUGUUCAAAUAAGCAUAACACAAUCUUCAUAUUUCUCGCUUUCGCCAAGUCAUGCUCCAUAAAGAUGAUAGUAUCAUCAGCAUACUGCAAUAUGGAUAAACCACCAUCAACUAGGUGCGGAACCAAGCCACUAACCUGCCCCGCAUCCUUAGCCCGACCUAUUAAAAUAGAUAGCAUAUCAACCACUAUGUUGAAUAGAAUCGGUGACAUGGGAUCUCCUUGCCUUAGUCCUUUGUGUGUCUGGAAAUAGUGACCUAUAUCAUCGUUCACUUUAAUCCCUACACUCCCUUUUUGCGUGAAGGAUUGAAUCUGGUCUCGCCAGGCCUUGUCGAAUCCUUUCAUACGCAAAGCUUGUUGAAGAAAAGGCCAUUUAACUUUAUCGUAUCCUUUUUCAAAAUCCACUUUAAAAACCACACCGUCUAGUUUUUGGAGUGGAUUUCAUGGAGCGAUUCAUGCAAGACGACUACCCCUUCAAGGAUAUUUCUAUCUGGCAUAAAAGCAGUCUGGGACGGUUGCACAACUGAAUCCGCAAUCUGCGUGAGUCGGUUCGUCCCAACCUUGGUGAAAAUUUUGAAACAGUAGUUCGUAUUUAUAUAGCUUUAAGAAAAUCGCAUCUCGAGCGGGAACAUUAUCUAACAUAUUUCCAGCUAUAUGUUCGACACCUGCAUUGAGUUGACAUUACUAGCUAAGUUCACAAUUAUCUCACAGGAAAGCAUAGACGAAAGAACUCAACAAUAGAAAAUGAUACAAAUAUGAUCUCAAUGUACAGUUGCAACAUCCAUGCAAAAAAAGAGAAUACAGUUGCAUUACAAAAACAAGGAAACACAAAAGAGUUGAGUGAUGGGUGUUUGGUUUUGCUGGACAACAACAUUUUUUUACCUGAUCCCUAAUGAACUGGUCAGAGAAAGAUUGUCGCCGACGCUUUUUCUAGUAGAAACUAAUCCAUUGAACUGAGGAAACUGAUGGUAUUCCUACAGAGUUGAAAGUUCCGCGGGUACGUACGCACAGCACGUACACACAUGUGUGUUGAUCAUUUGAUCAAUAGGCUUUAGUACUUAAAGUUAAAUCGUUGAGUUUACGGGACGCUAAUGAUGGUGCGUACAUCUAGGAGAUAAGAAUAAGCAAUUUGUGUAUACGCUAACAAACAAAAGUACAGCCCCUCCAAUUAAGAUAUGCAUUCCCAGGCGUUCUAUUUGGUAGGCCGACUUGGAUGAUGAUGCCUGGAAAGGAAACUCCAGGCCGGGAGGCAACCCAAACAGUCAGAUAGGCCUCAAAGAUUAUAACAAGUAUAAUUCCUUGAGAAUAUUACAAUGAAGUGGUUGAAUGUUGAAUUAUUAAUUGAUGCAAUUUAAUAAUACAAUAUAGGAUAAUCCACUACAUUGACACUCAUUCGGGAUGGGUACAUAAGUUGGGCAUGUGGUUUUAGGUCUUCAAGUUGAGUGAUGAAACAUGUGUUAUAGUAUGUUGUAAAGUCUGUAUUUUUAGAUUCAUCAUCGAAUGAUGCGAAACUACUAAUUUUAUGCAAUUUACACAUAUUUCGCUAGUCAAACUGAAUGCCUAAAAACCCGUGCCUGGCUUAUAUUCCCAUGGAGGAUGUUAUAUAUGAUGUACGCGAUGUUUUGCAUAUAUAAUAUAUAGUAUUCUUCAUUGUACUAUAUUCACUAAUGCUUAUCUGGACACAAUCUCCUCCAAUUUUGAGAAAAUACGUGGUAUGUGUUAUUGUUUUCAUUUGCUCCAUUUUUCAUCCCCAGGGGUGAACUUUGCAUGGAGUCUCCAUGAGUACUAUAUUCAACUAAUUAUUUUGUUUUAUAUCCGUAUACUGCGUUCCCCACCAAACGAAGUUUAGGUGAACCCAGGAAGAGUGUGGAAGUAUGGCAGAAACUGAAACACAGAAAAGCGCGCGCGCACACACAGAGAGAGAGAUAUUUAUGCAUGCAAAAAUGCUUCCUAGAACUCGCACGCAAAGCUUAAGCAUAGAUGAAAAUAGGAGAGUGAGAGAUAGAAAGAGUUUGUUAGCAGCCCACGCCAACUCCUGGUCCAUCGGCAUAGGUUCAAACGUUUUCGGUGCACAUUGGAGAGCCCACUACAAGCAGAGUGCCCAAUGUAUCCGGAAACACCAGCAUGAGGAGACCGUGACACUUUCAUGAUGAUCGUCGCAAUGUCCCUUUGGAUGCGAAAGAAGUCAUCUCUAAGUUUAUAAUCCGCUUCUCCAUGAGAUUCUAGCCACUUGUGGAUAUGAUCAUCAUUUCUUCUUCUCAUGCGAAGUUUUUGGUGAUCUGUGUUGAACUGAAUCAUGAGAUGAACGAUGUAGAAUCCAUCCUUUUUGCUUGGUUUUGGGACAUGGAUGCAGGAGAAGUUAGUUUUAUGCGCGAAACCCAUCUUCUUGUUCCUUUGUUUCCUGAUCUGCAUGUGGCCACCUCUAAUGCUGAAGCCAUGGAGAGCAUCAUCUAGAAUAUUCAUUAUGUGGGUGUAGUCUUUUUUCUCGUAGUCUCUGGAAGGGUCAAAAUAGAUGGCGUGGGAGACUUGCGGGUAAAGAACGAUAAGGACGGCGCGCCCGUUGCUGCGGGGAAAAGACACCUCAAAUUAUUCCCCAUAUGAGAGAGAAUGAAUGAUUGAAAUGUAAGAAGGGGUUGUCCGGAACUGACUUACUUUGGAUGAUAAGGCACGAGGACAAUUUUCCGGUCCUUAUUCUGUACCAUAAAGUUUUGGAGGUACUCCCUAGCAGUUUCACGCUCAAAGUCGCCGAGACUCAAGAAAGACUCGUGCAUGUAGUACGGAUCCGCCACACAGAUUUGCGAGACUUCUUCACUCUUCAUGACAGAGCUCAUAUUUAGCGCAAAAAGGAGGACGAUUGUAAAAUCGAGCCGCCUUGUCAGAAACAUCUCGAAGAUAUGGUCAAACCGCAGGAAGAACACAUCCGCGGGCCGUGUCUCGACAUAGCACUUCCCCUCAGGCACAGGAGCCGCGUAUGUCGGAUAUCCUGGAUCCUUUGAGGCUAGUAGGCUUUUCUCAGUCGACAACACAUGGUCGUGCAGUCUCUUGAAAUCCCCUGAUAGUGCCUCCAGCGGUUUCGGCGGUAGCAUCGGCUCGCCCGUGAGAUGGAACAUGGCCGCACCUUUCACGGGUACACGCUCUUCAGAAUGCAUCGUCUGGCUGCUUUGUGCUCUGGAUUGUUUGGAGGCAGUUAUCUUCCCCGAUCUCUUCCUCUCCUUUUUCUUGGGCACACCUUCCAGACCCUUCCUUAACCCCUGGCCCAGGGUUCCCGGGCUAAGAACUGUACGAACCCCGGCUAGUUGCGCCUGUGUUGAGGCGACAUCUUCAGGCGUGUCCUGUGAGGAAUUCAUGAAGAGAGACUUUUUGCAAAUCCUUCCAACGACCUUCCUGCCCGGGCAUAUCAUCCGUAUCCUCAUUAGCAUGCUGAUAGCCCGAUUCGUCAUAUGGUUGACUCAUCAUAUCUAUGUCACAGUCAUGCGCGUUUGUAUUGAGGAAACCCAUAGGGUCGACCUCCGUCUCAUCAUCCAUUGUCUGUUCUACAGGACCGAUUACAUCAGCCAGUACUAUUGCACCCCCUUCAUCACGUCGUCCGCCGCUCUCACCCGGCACUAUAGGAGGUAGUAAUUCGUAGGCGGGGUGAUGGUCUCCGCGCAUGCUUGUUGAUGUGUGGUUAUUGGUGUGCUCUCGGCCGGCUCCAGACGAAUAAGAUUCUUCGGCCAUAGCAGCACCCAACCCUUGCAGCUUCCAAUCUGCGGCGGGGUCUCGUCGUCCUCUCCCAUAUGCUAUACUAGAGGAGGCAAAGCCUUGUGCCCCGAUUUGACACUAGACAAGCUAACCCUAAAGUGUCCAGCGUGGAUCGGCUGGUUGUGGAACGUGGGUUUCAAGGGGUUCAAUAUCAUCCCCUUUCCCAUGUCGACCUUGUGGUCAUUUAUCAAGUAGAGUAUGGUGCAUGGGGUUCCUUCGCCCUGCAAACACAUAUGUCUGUGGCGUAAAACAUCCGAAAGGCAACGAAAAUGGAAUAUUCUAUAUAUAUAUGUAUAUAUGUUGGUGCGACAUGUAAUUACCGUGACGGCGUCGAGCUCAGCCAAAGACGAAGGCCCACCUAGCGCACCAGAGACUGAGGACGGGCUUCUAUGAGCGGGAGCGACCGCGAGAGGAGGCCCGGUUGCAUGAGCAAGUGAUGGUGCGGUGUUGUUGUUGUUCAUGGAGUUGCUCCCGACGAAACUGGGGAUCGGGAAAUCAUGUACCAUCUUGUCUGGAUUUCCUUUCGUCCAGUUAAUGAUAGCUGGAACCAAGUUAGUAGCGAAAUCAUUUCUGCAGGCAGUUACAGCUGCAUUGACUGCCUGCUGUAGCAACUCAUUUUUCUCCUCGGUUGUUUUUUCCGCGUCCUCAGCUGCUUUUUUCUCGAGCACAAGCUUCACCUUCACGUCGAUGUCCGAAUGACUAAACUUCUUUUUCUGCUUCUUGGCCUCCGGGCCCUUGUUGUAAAACACCUUCCACGUGGCGCCGUCUCCAGCGCCGUGCACACGACCAUAUUGCGGCCGCUGGCCCAAAGGGAACCCCUUAAGUUCGUUCAAGGCCCAGUUGAGAGGGGUGUCCCAUUUGGGCCUCAUCGGAGAAGUAGGGCUUUCGACUGCAAGCUGGUGAUGCUUCUCCAGUAGUCUAAUCAAUUUCCUCGUGAUCUGGUCCGUGUAAAAAAACCUUUUUCGCCUUGUCCCACUUGUAGCGGGCCCUGAUGGAGUCACGCUCCAAGGGGUUGGUGAACUUCGUGAAGGGGUCUGGGAGACCCGCGGCUUCACGUUCCGCGUCUUCCUUAUCCCAUAUGGGCCUUUUACCGAGGUAGCCACGGCUUCCGAGGUGAUGCUUCCCCGUGUUCCUUUGCUGAAGGCUCUUGAAUUUCACAGCCUUAGCCUUGGCUGCCUCGGUAGCGCAAGUGUCCUUGAACUUUUCGAACUCCUCUUCUUUAAGUGUCGGGUUUUCCUCUAGAAUCUUGGACAGGGGUUCCUCAGCCUCAAUAGCUCGUUUCACCCUCCCUUUCCAGGAGGCCAAAUCAUUGCUGAACAUGCCCAUGGCGUGAUUGUUAAUCUUUUUCAUCUUCGGAUCAUCCCACGGGUGUUCUAUGUUGUCAUCCCGGUCGGGGAACUUGAAUCUCUUGUGCAACUUCGUUAGGAGCAACUGCGUCAAAUGUUCUUUACUCCUUAACUCAUCGUCAUUGAUGCUCGCGCAUUCCCGUAGGAUGCAUCCUACUUGGUUCCCAUAGCACUUGCGAGGUUCUUCCGGCUCUAAUGGUUCAAACUUGCCAGGUGCCAUCUUUGUGAUCACAAGUCGUCCAAUCCCUAGUUUGUUAGGUUUUCGUAUCCUCUGCUUCUUAUGCUUCCUCUUUUCGGUAGCGGCAUCGGCGCCGGUACCUUCCCCGCCGGUCUCGGCGCCGCCAUCGGUGUCGGCGUCGUCGGUGUCGAUGUCGGCGUCAGUACCAUCAUCGAGGCCGAUCUGCAAAGCUUGCUUAGCAGUCAAAUAGUCGAGGUACACUUGUUCACCCUCAUAAUCCAUCUCAUCUGCAUCUUGGUCAGAAGGCCUAGUUUCUUCGUUGUUCGACAUGUUUCCUAUGAUUAAGUGUCCUCGUUCAUUUCUAAAAGUAUGAAAAAAAUGAGAAAUGACAUAAAAAAGAAAUCUAUGUGCCAGCACUCGAUAUGCCAACUAUCUAGCACAAAUCAUGCCAAAAUUCACGGCAAAUUUCGGCAUGACCUUUGCUAAAAAGUGGACAUAUCGAGCGCAUGAAAUUCACCGGAACGGAAAUGAAUCAAUAUUCCGGCGUAAUAUAUGCCACUCGGAUCAUUUACCAAAAUUGAACCAAAACAUCACAUGUCCAAAUGACAUGUUCAAAUUCCAAAUAUGACAUGUCCAAAACAUGACAUAUCCACAUAUCACAUGUCCAGUUCAAAUUUGCAUAUAAAUUCAGCCUACCUAAAUUUGCUUUAACAAGGGAUGUUGAUUUGGACAAUUGCUUAAAUCCUGCCUUUUCAUUUAACUACAAUUGCUUAACCCUAAAUUUCUGUCCUAUUUUAAAACCUAACUAAAUUCAUAACUAAAUAGAUAACCUAAUUAACAUACUGCCCUAACUAAAACAUAAGUAAAUUAACCGAAGAACCCUAGCUAGCAGAGGGAGGGGAGGGGGGGUUUACAGAGGGUGCAGGGGCGAGGAGNNNNNNNNNNNNNNNNNNNNNNNNNNNNNNNNNNNNNNNNNNNNNNNNNNNNNNNNNNNNNNNNNNNNNNNNNNNNNNNNNNNNNNNNNNNNNNNNNNNNNNNNNNNNNNNNNNNNNNNNNNNNNNNNNNNNNNNNNNNNNNNNNNNNNNNNNNNNNNNNNNNNNNNNNNNNNNNNNNNNNNNNNNNNNNNNNNNNNNNNNNNNNNNNNNNNNNNNNNNNNNNNNNNNNNNNNNNNNNNNNNNNNNNNNNNNNNNNNNNNNNNNNNNNNNNNNNNNNNNNNNNNNNNNNNNNNNNNNNNNNNNNNNNNNNNNNNNNNNNNNNNNNNNNNNNNNNNNNNNNNNNNNNNNNNNNNNNNNNNNNNNNNNNNNNNNNNNNNNNNNNNNNNNNNNNNNNNNNNNNNNNNNNNNNNNNNNNNNNNNNNNNNNNNNNNNNNNNNNNNNNNNNNNNNNNNNNNNNNNNNNNNNNNNNNNNNNNNNNNNNNNNNNNNNNNNNNNNNNNNNNNNNNNNNNNNNNNNNNNNNNNNNNNNNNNNNNNNNNNNNNNNNNNNNNNNNNNNNNNNNNNNNNNNNNNNNNNNNNNNNNNNNNNNNNNNNNNNNNNNNNNNNNNNNNNNNNNNNNNNNNNNNNNNNNNNNNNNNNNNNNNNNNNNNNNNNNNNNNNNNNCUCAGUGUUGACGUUUUCGUUUUUGAGUCAGCUUCUUUCCCUUCUUGUUCGUUGAAGAAUAAUUGAGCCCCUCAUUGUGACUUUGCCUUUUCCAUGGAUUACGAUUUUUCUUAGGUAAUGUAGUAUUGAUUCUUCUUUUGACGUAUACUUCAUCAUCAUUGUCAUCUUCCCUCAUUGGGUUGCCGUACUGAUCAUAGUCUUCCUCGUUGGCGACUCCAUCCAUUCCAAUGAUGUUCCUUUUACCUCUCCUCACGACAACACGGCUGGGAUUGCGUGGGUCAGUUAUGAAGAAGCAUUGUGUCACGUGCUUAGCGUGUACCCAUGGCUUGUUUUUUGCGAUAGCGUUCACGGUAGCGCUCUUGGCAUCGAUUAUAGUCAUGGUAGUGAAAAUCCGGUUUUCUCUUUCGACAUUCUUAGACCAUCUGACACGGAACAUCGUCGUGUUGUGCAGUCCAGAGUAGUCAAGCUCCCAGAUCUCCUUGACCCUUCCAUAAAAUCGUUCAGUUGCGCCGUUGUCGCUGCCGAUCAUGCAUUCCAUCGUGACCCCUGAGUUCUGAUCAUCACUGUCCAUAUCUUUGGCCUCCGUGUAGAACGUGUAUCCGUUGAUAUCAUAUGCCUGAUAGGUUACGAGGUUGGGGGAGGGGCCAUGUGCUAAGGCGUAUAUGAGCAAUCCGUCCUUAGAGCCCUCCUCCGGGGGAUUAGCAAUAAUAUGCUCUUUGAACCAAUGCAGGAAAGUGAAGUUGUGCUCUUUAGUAACUUCGGCGUCCGUCCUGCAUACCCCCCGGUCACGAUACUUCUUUGCGAUAAUUUCUUUGUGCAGUGCCAUGAAAGGAUCUACCUCGUCUAGGUGUUGUAGAACUACCAAGUUUGCUCUGUCAAAGUCGUUGCACCGAUCUGAGUAUGCCACGUGCAGUUCCCUGCGACCGUUGCAGUGACCUUCUCCUUCGAGCCUCCGAUCAUGCUUGUUAAUGGGCAAACCAACACUAACACCAUGCAGCUGGUCUGUGCCAUAUAGAAAAUUCUCAAGAGAUGUACUCUUGUGUCACAUAGCCCUGGACGAUGCUUCCAUCCGGACGGGACAUGUUACAAACGAAUCCUUUGAUGAUCCCAUUCAUCCUCUCAAACGGCAUCAUGUUGUGCAGGAAUGACGGACCCAGGUCUAUUAUCUCAUCCACAAUAUGGACACACAGAUGCACCAUCACGUCAAAAAACGCGGGCGGGAAGUACAUCUCAAGCUCAUUCAGUAUCACAACGAUCUCUUCUUGUAGCCUUCGGAGCUGCUUCACACUGAUCGACUUUCGAGAGAUGACGUCGAAAAUGUUGCAGAGACCAAUAAGCGUGUCAUGGACGUGCUUGUCCAUUAACCCUCUAAGGGCAAUAGGUAGUAUCUGCGUCAUCAUCACAUGACAGUCAUGGGACUUCAUCCCGCUGAACCUUUUCUUGUCCGUGUCUAGAUAUCUGCUUAACUUGCCACAGUAACCGGAACUAACUUUGACUCCAUAAGGCACUUAAAGAAUUGAUCGAUCUCAGCCUGACUUAAGGUGAAGCAAGAAGGGGGGCAAUAAUCCUCUUUCUUUAUUUUCUUGCCCUUCUUCUCCCGUGCCUCUGUCUCCGUCUCUGUCUCAUCUGACAUUUUACGGGGCGGCAUGUGCAGAUCUUCCCUGAUAUUCAAAUCUUGCAAGUCUUUUCUUGCCUUCGGCCCAUCCUUGGUCUUAUUCCGCAUGUUCAUCAAUGUUGCGAGCAAGCUCUCAAGGACAUUCUUGCAGAUAUGCAUUUGAUCAAGGCAAUGAGAUGUAUCGAGUUUGUUCCAGUACUCCAAGUCCCAGAACACAGACCUCGUCUUCCAUACCUUCAGUAGCGGCUCCGGCGCCUUUCUCAUCGUCUUUCACGGCAGGGGGCACUCCUUCCAAAUUGUCAACAGCUCAUCGAUUUUGGCACCGCUCCACUUACAUGGAGGUCCUCGAUGCUCAGCAUGAACAUUGAAUAGAUCUCCACGGUUUCUCCAUGGGUCGUCCUGUUCGAGCCAUCUUCGAUGCCCCAUGUACACGAUUUUCCCAGACCCGCCAUCUUUCCUUGACGUUAGCUGCUGAAACGUCAUAUCAUCCAUGCAUCGCAUGCAUCCGCAAUAUCCAUGGCACACCUGGCCUUCCAUAUAUCCGUAACCGAGAUAGUCCUGCACUGUCGUGAUCAGCGCGGCUCUCAUGUUGAAAUACCCGCCUUUGCUGGCGUCCCAUGUCUUGGCCGAUGUUUUCCAUAACGUGUCUAACUCCUCUUGAAGUAGCCCAAGAUACAAAUUAAUAUUAUUUCCUGGUUGUUUCGGCCCUUGAAUAAGCAUGCUCAUGUGAAUGUACUUCGAUUUCAUGCACAACCAGGGGGGAGGUUGUACAUCCAUACAAACACGGGCCAAGUACCAUACAACUUUAUGGGGACAUUUCUUCCCGGCCUUCUUGUAUCGAGAAGCAUUGCACACUGGACAACUUGUUUUUUUCUGCGUGCUCCUUUCGAUAAAUUAUGCAAUCGUUAAUGCAUGCAUGGUAUCUAAUGUGUGGCAGAUCAAGAGGGCACACGAUCUUCUUGGCCUCAUUAACACAACUAGGACAUAGAUUACCCACGGGAAGAACAUCCUUUAGGUACUUGAGAUGCUCAUCGAGGCUAGUGUUGGUCCAUUUGUUUUUAGCCUUCGUCUUCAGGAGUUGGAGCGAAACUCAAGCGGGUCACCUCAGGAUUGCAACCAUCAUACAAUGGAGUGUUCGAGUCUACCACCAAUUGCUCCAGCUUAGCCUCCUCUCUAGAAGCAGCUCUCUCAGUACUCGUCUCCUUGCGAAGCAAUGCUUGAACAUGAGGGUCCCACAUGAUUGAACUUAGUACCGACGAACUCUGCUGCGUGGAGUCCAUGUCGUUCUCUCCGCCGCCAUGUCCAGCCCCUUCUCCUCCGCCAUGUCCGGCCCCUUCUCCGCUGCCAUGUCCGGCCUCUUUGCCGCCGCCAUUAUCGAUCAUCUCUUCGUCUUGCCCGUGUCAUCAUUGCCUGCCCCAUCGGCAUUGUCAACAUCGUCAUCCUCAUCUUCAAUUAUCCACGGAGUAUAGCUAUCCAUGAAACCAGUCAUGAGCAGGUGCGCUCCGACACGACCAUCGUCAUGGGGGUCGAGCCAAACUAUUCCUUUGCAUUUUCAACACGGACAUAAAACCUCUGUCCGGUUAUUUUCUUUCAUGUCCUGCACCGCCGACCGCAGCCACCUGUCCACCAUCGUUCCACUGACUAUCGUCAAAUCUGCACGGUAAUAAUAAACAAAUUGAUUAUAAAAAUGUGUGCAUGCAUCAAAGUCAUACAAAAAUUCGGCAUGACCAGCCUUAAAAAUAGACAUAUAUAGAUCUAGAGUUUGCCCGGAAUUCGCCGAAACGGAAAUAAAUCGACAUUUCGGCAAAACAUAGGCAACUCAAAAGCACAAUUUGUCGUCAACUCAUGCCACACACACAAUUUCCAUAAACAUAUCACACACACAUAACCAUAUUUCCAUUUUGCAAAAGCAUGAAAUUUUAAUCACCUCUAUCUCGAGAUCGAGCACAUGGUGAUGAGAUGAUGAUGUAGGGAGAUCAAAAGUACACAAAGCUCUUCUUGACAAAGGUAGAUCUAGUUAGGGAGCAAAUAUGUCACUUAACUAAAUGCUACAUCUACCUAGCUACCUCAUCUGGGAGGAGACAACUUCAACUAGUGGAGGGGGGAGGAAAAAGAGAAAGGAGAUGCAUUAAUGGAGAUGGUGUAGUUAGGUAGGAGUAAUGAAGAGAGAGAAAGGUAGGUAGAAGAGGGAGAGUAAUGGGGGAGAAGUGUUGAGGAAGAAGAAGAGUGAGAGUGGGAGGAUGUAGGAGGUAGGGGAAAGGGAAGAUAGGAGGGGGAGGGGAGGGGACGGGUGGGGAUAAGGUGGUGGGUUGGUGCAGAUUUGGAAGCGGCGACCUUAGAAAAGGUGGUGGGCUACUGCUAACCGGGACAAAAAGUGUGUCCAAUUUGAAAGCGGCGACCUUGUAGUAGCGCGGUACGCGGCACCGCGCUGCUGCUUAAUGGAGUUUGAGGGGCACUGUCGGUCGAUAUUUGUAGCAGUGCGGGUAACACCAAGCACGCUACUGCUAAACGCUUAUCAGUAGCUGGUUUUACACACCGGCGCUAUUGCUAAUUAGCAGCAGCGAUCCUUUUUGAGCUGCGCUGCUGCUAAGAUUCUGUGUAUAUGGUUUUCCCUAGUAGUGUAUCCAUCAUUCCAAGCAAAAUGUGAGUGGUAGAAAGAGAAGAACUUAUACCAAUGUACCUUGACCGAUGUUGAUGAUGAAUCAAGUUCACUCAAAUGCGGACAAUGAAAUAGCACUAUUGGUACCAAUCCUUGUCGGUUCUCACACCUACACAAGUAAAAGCUUAUGGUGGAGCUUGGUUAGAAUGGUGGCACAAAAUUUGAUGCAAUUAAAAGUGAGCUUCAAUAAUGUUGGAAAAGAUUCACAAAUUUGCAAAUGCAACAAGUAGACCAAGCAAGUAGGGGUACACGGAAACACACACGCAAAAAGAUAAGUGGGAUUAUGCAAACCAAAAGUGAGCCAGAAUGUGGAAACCACGAAAAUGCUCUUGUUGCACAAUACUAGAGAGACGCUAGCACGAUUGCACAAUAGGCGGAUACGGAAAUUGUGCACAACCUACUAGGCCAAAAUGCAACGAACUCUAUCCCAAGUAUGAUAUAUGUACGGUAUUUCGGUGCUAUGAUCCAAGAUGAUCCAAUAUGACAUCUUAAUGUAGUAUGAUGGUAUGGUUCUUGCUCAUAAGCUCUUUUCUUAUCUUUCCUCUUUGCUUCAAAGCUUGGGUGGCUCUUUCACUUUUGAGCUCUUUUCUCAUGCAAAACUUCACGAACCAAGAUAGCAAUUGUGUAUGCGAUGACAACUUAGUGACACACAAGUUGAUACCAAGAUAUGCACCACUAUGGUAUGGUAUGUAUGCUAUGGAGUAUGAUCACUAAUGUGCAUAAGUCAUGUUACCUGCAAUACUAAAUGGCUAGUCUCGAUGGGUAAGCAAUGCAAAAGAUGAGCUAUGAUGUUUAUCAAUACAAUGGCAAGGUUUGGACAAAGAUGUCGUCGAGAUUACCGUCCUUGCUUACGGUUGAGGGUUCCAAACAGAUGCGAAUCUAGAUGGUGUCGUAGUGCACGGUCUUCAGUAUGUUGGCGAAGAUGCCUCUGCACUAUGGUCGGAGUUGCCGAAGUAGCGGAAGUCGUCGAAGAUGCGCAACCUUUCUGUCUAGACCGAAAGUUUCAGGCAAGACGGAAGCUCCAGGGAUGGCCCGAAGGUCCGGGGGCCGGAAGUACUGGGCGGGGCCAGAAGUUCCGGUGGUGGGGAAUCUGCCAAGAACAGAGACUUCGGGAUCGCGGAUUCGGGCGGNNNNNNNNNNNNNNNNNNNNNNNNNNNNNNNNNNNNNNNNNNNNNNNNNNNNNNNNNNNNNNNNNNNNNNNNNNNNNNNNNNNNNNNNNNNNNNNNNNNNNNNNNNNNNNNNNNNNNNNNNNNNNNNNNNNNNNNNNNNNNNNNNNNNNNNNNNNNNNNNNNNNNNNNNNNNNNNNNNNNNNNNNNNNNNNNNNNNNNNNNNNNNNNNNNNNNNNNNNNNNNNNNNNNNNNNNNNNNNNNNNNNNNNNNNNNNNNNNNNNNNNNNNNNNNNNNNNNNNNNNNNNNNNNNNNNNNNNNNNNNNNNNNNNNNNNNNNNNNNNNNNNNNNNNNNNNNNNNNNNNNNNNNNNNNNNNNNNNNNNNNNAGGGAAGCUAGAUCCACUGGAAGCAAAGCAUAUCCAUGGAUCAAAUCCAACAAAAUUUCAUCACACAAACAAAUCACAAAAAAUAAUUGGGGCUAUUUUUGGUGGGCAAUUUUCGGAAUUAGGAGGAAAACAACAAAAUCAAGCUAGAAAACAAAGGGUAGGGGCUCCAAAAACGUGAUCAACGUGGCUCAUGAUACCAAGAUGAUGUAGGGCAGAACCAUAGGGGCCGAUCUUUCAUGUUUGGAGUGGAUCCUACGGAGAAACAUGAAGAAUGCACGGAAGAACACAAGGGAAAACAUGGGGAGAAACGAGAGAAUCACUCAACCGACAAGUAAUUGAUCACACAAGGGCUAGAUCACCGAAAACAUAAGGUAGCACAAGAUUCAAAAUCAACAAAGGGAAGAUACAAGACUAACCAUUCUUCUUCGUGAGGAGGUCUUGAUUUUCAUCUCCGGAUGGAGGCCUUGAAUCCGAAUGGGUCUUCUCCGAGGAGGCACGGUCCCUCACAUGGAGUAGAUCCGGUACGGAUGAGCUAUGCUCUAUCUCAAGAUGAGCUAUCACAAUGCUAACCCUAAAACGUAGGUAGGAGAAGAGUAUAUAUAGUUUACGGGGCGAAAGUGUACACGGGCCUCGGCCCAAGUGGCUGCGCGCAGGCAGGGCCAGAAGUUCCGGGCUAAGCCGGAAGUUCCGGGCGCCGGAGGUUCCGGGCAAGGUCCGGCCUAAGCCGAGAGUUGGCGCGGGUGGAGCCAGGCUGGCGUCCGGGGGCUGGAAGUUCCAGGGGUCGGAAUGUCCGGGCAGGUUCCGAGCUAACCAGAGAGUUGGCAUGCCCGGGCUGGUCGAUGUCGAAGGAGGCCGGAAGCUCCGGGGUGGCCGGGCGUUCCGGGGGCCAAAAGUUCCGGGCUCUGGCCGGAAGUUCUAGGCUAUCCAGAGAGUUGACCCCUGUCGCUUCUUCUCCAGCUCCUGGCUCCGUGGCUUGAGCGUUGUACCUGAUCAUGCAUAGCAUCUCGGACUUAGGCAGUAGCCAUGUCUCAUUGGAAGAAAAGGGGGACUCAAGUAGGAGUGAUGUCACCUCGGAUUGAAUAGCACGAGCCCUUGCUCUUGUCAUGGGUCCACUUGAAGCUUGGAUAGUCGAUGGAAGGUCCAUGGGGAUGACCGAAGGAUGCUCCGCAUCACAUAUCUAGCCUCGGUGCCGUCAUAAUGGAGAUAUUAACAGGAGCCAAGGGAUAUUCUGAAAAUGGGAAUGUAGGAAUAAUUUAAGUGUUUGAUCCAAGCUAAAUUGUAACUUCCAAAAUAAUUAUGUAAAGUCUUUAUUAGAAAUAUCAUUUCUUAUUUUCUUUUUGAUUUUGCACAUGUACUUAUUUUUGAAAACACCUCUUAAUUAGUAAGGUAGUUGAGUUGUAUUUCAACAAAGAGUAAGAUAGCUGAGUUGUGGGGGCACAAAUCAGACCCAUAAGGAUCAAAUCCUGGUGCUACGUGCACAUGGGGGUGCUUUAUUAACAUAAACAUUCUAAGAUUCACGGAUAUAUCAUCGAUCUCUGCCAGAUGUUAGACGUGUGUUAAAAGGUGUCUUCAUGUGUAUCUAUUCGUCCACUAUGCAAUACAAAAAAAAUACAACUAUUAUAUAUUUCUUGGAGCACAUAGUUGUACCUUCUUAUGUACUCUUGAAGAAAUAGGUACAUAAGCUGGCUCUUGAGUGCCGAAAUAUAGCUAUGGAAGAACGGCCAGAUAUUAUUCAGGUGAGAGAUCGAGUAAUGAUGCUUAGGAGAGAUAGAGGUGACAACUAUCUGUCGGUUCUGGGGCUCAAACCGGUCUGACGCACUCACAUGUAUCGUCGCCGCCAUCUUUCAUUGGUCCAUCUUAAGAACAGAUUGAGGUGACAACCUUGGCAGGUCCUCCGCCAUCGACGCCAUCACGACGUCAAAGGACGACCUCCACCUACGCGAGCCUUGGCAGGUCCUCUGCCAUUGACGCCACCACGACGCCAGCCGACGACCUCCACCUACGCGACUCCAUCUCCAAGCAACGGUCAUAAAUCCAUGCUAGGAAAGAGCCGCACCACCACUCUCGCCCACCACCCACAAGCGCCACCCAACCCCAAGGUUUCCAAAGCGGCGCCUUCAAGAAGGGAACGACGCCCUGAGCGCAGCCGCCGCCCAACAAAGUUAGGGAUUUCGCCCGGGCAACCUAGGAGAAGGUGAAGUGAGGAGAUUAGUCCAUACCGCCCCCUCCAAGGAGGGAAACGGCACCUUCAGGCGUCGCCGUCGGCACGGCCGGUCAUGGCAGGCCAGAGAUUUCACCCGAACUAGAUCUCCGCCACCAGCAGCACCUCCUGUAUAGAACCGGCGACCAAGAGGAAGCGCGACCAGACCAGGUUGGCCCGCACGCCGAACAGGGGAGGAAUGGACGCGCCAGAUCGUGCACACCGACCGCCGCAGAAGCCGCCGCCGGCCGCCAGCGACCACCGGAUCCUGCCGCCCGCGCGGCCGGGACACCGGAUCCACCACCAGCAUGGCUGUUAGCCGGCCGUGCCUUGCCAAUGGAGCCACCGCUCCAGAUCCGGGGUUCCCCACACAAGAGCAGGGCAACCGAGGCCCCGCCGCCACCAUCCUUGGCGCCACCAAGGGAGGAGGGGAGGGGGGGAGGAGGAGGGCGGGUAGGGUUGGGAGGAGGAGGCGGCCCUGAGGAGGGGGGAGGGUGGAGGGGGAGUAGUAACACCUUAUAUUAUGGGACGGAGAGGGUACUAGAUAAUGAUGAUACGUGUCGUGAUUGAUGAUGAUCUUGAAAUGGCUGUACUUCAGGACGGACAAUGCAGAGAUGCUGAAGCCUGCACCUAUGUCAUGUACAUACUGUAGCUAACAUAAGCCCUCUUUCUUUCCCACAGAAAAAAGAAACAUCAGCCAUCUUUCUAUCGAUCAAUGGGCACAUGACGAAGAGGCUUGUUAUAUGUUGGUUAAAUUUGUUGUUUGAAAUAUAUUUCAUACAAUGUUUUGACCGGUCUUUUGUCAAAUCUUUUGUAUCGGAGACUUUGUAAAACCAAACACUUUAUUAUUGUUUCCCUCCACAGAGAAUACUACAUCACUUUCUGCAGCAACAGCUGCUGGUGGUGGUCAAGGUUUGUUUGUUCAGCUACAGCAGGAGCACCGCUUCACGUCGUUCGUCCCCGCAUAACUGAUGCACAACCCGAAGGUGUAAUACUCCUUGCGGCAGUGCUCAACGCAUAGCCGAUCCUCACAAGGACCAGUAUAUGUCAUGCUGGGUUCCGCACAAUGUAGACCAUCAGACCCUG
This 36984-nucleotide long non-coding RNA is filed under the name Triticum aestivum (bread wheat). RNAcentral's name for it is "long non-coding RNA (TAES_LNC000117)". The record is from RNAcentral. Lineage: Eukaryota; Viridiplantae; Streptophyta; Magnoliopsida; Poales; Poaceae.